This 330-nucleotide long non-coding RNA is filed under the name Monodelphis domestica (gray short-tailed opossum). RNAcentral's name for it is "lncRNA (ENSMODG00000043409.1)". Lineage: Eukaryota; Metazoa; Chordata; Mammalia; Didelphimorphia; Didelphidae. The record is from RNAcentral.
UAGAGUAUCAUUCAAAUAAACUACAAAUCUAUUUCCAUCUCUUCAUUUUUCCCAGGCAAAGAUGCAUUGAAAUGGAUGUGACUGAACAACAAAGGAAGACACAUUGCUUCUGUUCCUUCAAGUGACUGAAUUAAAUUAAAAUUAGAACAGUUCAAUGAGUUUUGUGGAGACUCUCAAAUAUCAGGUCAAUUUUUUUCUAUAAACAUUGUUGUUGAUUCUACAGUCCAUUCUGGUGAUCCUCAGAGCCAUAAAUCUCCGUGAGGUAGACAGAAAAUACAGAACCACCCCCAUGUGUCUUAUAUCUUUCUCAGCUUUACUUAGAACAAAAUG